This 484-nucleotide ribosomal RNA is filed under the name uncultured bacterium. Its description in RNAcentral is "partial 16S ribosomal RNA". It matches the Rfam family "Bacterial small subunit ribosomal RNA", at positions 31 to 507 of the family's 1533-position model. The record is from RNAcentral.
AGGGACCGCUGGCGGCAGGCCUAACACAUGCAAGUCGAGCGGAUGAAGGGAGCUUGCUCCUGGAUUCAGCGGCGGACGGGUGAGUAAUGCCUAGGAAUCUGCCUGGUAGUGGGGGAUAACGUCCGGAAACGGGCGCUAAUACCGCAUACGUCCUGAGGGAGAAAGUGGGGGAUCUUCGGACCUCACGCUAUCAGAUGAGCCUAGGUCGGAUUAGCUAGUUGGUGGGGUAAAGGCCUACCAAGGCGACGAUCCGUAACUGGUCUGAGAGGAUGAUCAGUCACACUGGAACUGAGACACGGUCCAGACUCCUACGGGAGGCAGCAGUGGGGAAUAUUGGACAAUGGGCGAAAGCCUGAUCCAGCCAUGCCGCGUGUGUGAAGAAGGUCUUCGGAUUGUAAAGCACUUUAAGUUGGGAGGAAGGGCAGUAAGUUAAUACCUUGCUGUUUUGACGUUACCAACAGAAUAAGCACCGGCUAACUUCGUG